UUUGGCCACCAUAGCUGUCCCACCUGCAGAUCAGACUGGGUAAUCCAUAUAAAGCUAAGCAGGUUUGGCCCUGGCCAGUAAUUGAAUGGGAGACCUGCUAGGAAAGCUGGGUUGCUGCUGGAA
This 123-nucleotide ribosomal RNA is filed under the name Paramormyrops kingsleyae. Lineage: Eukaryota; Metazoa; Chordata; Actinopteri; Osteoglossiformes; Mormyridae. The record is from RNAcentral.